GGCGGUAUAGCUUAAUUGGUAAAGUCGUGGAUUGCAAAUCCAUUUAUCCUGAUUCAAGUUCAGGUGUCGCCU
Molecule: transfer RNA, 72 nt
Filed under: Trentepohlia odorata
Lineage: Eukaryota; Viridiplantae; Chlorophyta; Ulvophyceae; Trentepohliales; Trentepohliaceae
Description: tRNA-Cys
Rfam family: tRNA
About the family: Transfer RNA (tRNA) molecules are approximately 80 nucleotides in length. Their secondary structure includes four short double-helical elements and three loops (D, anti-codon, and T loops).
Source: RNAcentral